Punctularia strigosozonata HHB-11173 SS5 is the source of this 97-nucleotide transfer RNA. It matches the Rfam family "tRNA". Rfam says of the family: Transfer RNA (tRNA) molecules are approximately 80 nucleotides in length. Their secondary structure includes four short double-helical elements and three loops (D, anti-codon, and T loops). The record is from Rfam. NCBI's taxonomy places the organism in Eukaryota, Fungi, Basidiomycota, Agaricomycetes, Corticiales, Punctulariaceae.
GGCCGCCUGGCGAAAUGGCAUCGCGUCUGACUACGAUCUCUUGUCCCUUGGAUUUGAGGUAAUCAGGAGAUUGCAGGUUCGACCCCUGCGGUGGUCA